This 465-nucleotide ribosomal RNA is filed under the name uncultured Klebsiella sp. RNAcentral describes it as "bacterial SSU rRNA". It matches the Rfam family "Bacterial small subunit ribosomal RNA", at positions 338 to 795 of the family's 1533-position model. Lineage: Bacteria; Pseudomonadati; Pseudomonadota; Gammaproteobacteria; Enterobacterales; Enterobacteriaceae. The record is from RNAcentral.
CCUACGGGCGGCUGCAGUGGGGAAUAUUGCACAAUGGGCGCAAGCCUGAUGCAGCCAUGCCGCGUGUGUGAAGAAGGCCUUCGGGUUGUAAAGCACUUUCAGCGGGGAGGAAGGCGUUAAGGUUAAUAACCUUGGCGAUUGACGUUACCCGCAGAAGAAGCACCGGCUAACUCCGUGCCAGCAGCCGCGGUAAUACGGAGGGUGCAAGCGUUAAUCGGAAUUACUGGGCGUAAAGCGCACGCAGGCGGUCUGUCAAGUCGGAUGUGAAAUCCCCGGGCUCAACCUGGGAACUGCAUUCGAAACUGGCAGGCUAGAGUCUUGUAGAGGGGGGUAGAAUUCCAGGUGUAGCGGUGAAAUGCGUAGUGAUCUGGAGGAAUACCGGUGGCGAAGGCGGCCCUCUGGACAAAGACUGACGCUCAGGUGCGAAAGCGUGGGGAGCAAACAGGAUUAGAUACCCCUGUAGUC